RNAcentral lists this ribosomal RNA (468 nucleotides) under uncultured bacterium. Its description in RNAcentral is "partial 16S ribosomal RNA". It matches the Rfam family "Bacterial small subunit ribosomal RNA", at positions 28 to 507 of the family's 1533-position model. The record is from RNAcentral.
GACGAACGCUGGCGGCGUGCUUAACACAUGCAAGUCGAACGGAAAGGCCCUGCUUUUGUGGGGUGCUCGAGUGGCGAACGGGUGAGUAACACGUGAGUAACCUGCCCUUGACUUUGGGAUAACUUCAGGAAACUGGGGCUAAUACCGGAUAUGAGCUCCUGCUGCAUGGUGGGGGUUGGAAAGUUUCGGCGGUGGGGGAUGGACUCGCGGCUUAUCAGCUUGUUGGUGGGGUAGUGGCUUACCAAGGCAUUGACGGGUAGCCGGACUGAGAGGGUGACCGGCCACAUUGGGACUGAGAUACGGCCCAGACUCCUACGGGAGGCAGCAGUGGGGAAUAUUGCACAAUGGGCGGAAGCAUGAUGCAGCAACGCCGCGUGCGGGAUGACGGCCGUCGGGUUGUAAACCGCUUUCGCCUGUGAAGAAGAGUGAGUGACGGUAAUGGGUAAAGAAGCACCGGCUAACUACGUG